GACGAACGCUGGCGGCGCGCCUAACACAUGCAAGUCGAACGGAGUCAAGAGGAGCUUGCUUUUCUUGACUUAGUGGCGAACGGGUGAGUAACGCGUGAGUAACCUGCCCUGGAGUGGGGGACAACAGUUGGAAACGACUGCUAAUACCGCAUAAGCCCACGGAUCCGCAUGGCUCUGCGGGAAAAGGAUUUAUUCGCUUCGGGAUGGACUCGCGUCCAAUUAGCUAGUUGGUGAGGUAACGGCCCACCAAGGCGACGAUUGGUAGCCGGACUGAGAGGUUGAACGGCCACAUUGGGACUGAGACACGGCCCAGACUCCUACGGGAGGCAGCAGUGGGGGAUAUUGCACAAUGGGGGAAACCCUGAUGCAGCGACGCCGCGUGGAGGAAGAAGGUUUUCGGAUUGUAAACUCCUGUCGUUAGGGACGAUAAUGACGGUACCUAACAAGAAAGCACCGGCUAACUACGUG
This 468-nucleotide ribosomal RNA is filed under the name uncultured bacterium. RNAcentral describes it as "partial 16S ribosomal RNA". It matches the Rfam family "Bacterial small subunit ribosomal RNA", at positions 28 to 507 of the family's 1533-position model. The record is from RNAcentral.